GAGCUCACUUUGGCAACAUAUACAUUAAAAUUGGAUCAAUACAGAGCAGUUUAGCAUAGUCCCUGUUCAAGAAUGAGACACAAAUUCAUGACAAGUGCCAUAAAAAU
This is a small nuclear RNA of Suncus etruscus (white-toothed pygmy shrew), 107 nucleotides long. NCBI's taxonomy places the organism in Eukaryota, Metazoa, Chordata, Mammalia, Eulipotyphla, Soricidae. The record is from RefSeq and is a predicted model, not a curated record.